RNAcentral lists this ribosomal RNA (484 nucleotides) under uncultured bacterium. RNAcentral's name for it is "partial 16S ribosomal RNA". It matches the Rfam family "Bacterial small subunit ribosomal RNA", at positions 29 to 507 of the family's 1533-position model. The record is from RNAcentral.
AUUGAACGCUGGCGGCAUGCUUUACACAUGCAAGUCGAACGGCAGCGCGGGCUUCGGCCUGGCGGCGAGUGGCGAACGGGUGAGUAAUACAUCGGAACGUGCCCAGUAGUGGGGGAUAGCUCGUCGAAAGCCGGAUUAAUACCGCAUACGACCUGAGGGUGAAAGCGGGGGAUCUUCGGACCUCGCGCUAUUGGAGCGGCCGAUGGCAGAUUAGCUAGUUGGUGGGGUAAAGGCCUACCAAGGCGACGAUCUGUAGCUGGUCUGAGAGGACGACCAGCCACACUGGGACUGAGACACGGCCCAGACUCCUACGGGAGGCAGCAGUGGGGAAUUUUGGACAAAGGGCGAAAGCCUGAUCCAGCAAUGCCGCGUGUGUGAUGAAGGCCUUCGGGUUGUAAAGCACUUUUGGCGGGAACGAAAAGGACUGUGCCAAUACCACGGUUCGAUGACGGUACCCGCAGAAUAAGCACCGGCUAACUACGUG